AUUGAACGCUGGCGGCAGGCUUAACACAAGCAAGUCGAGCGGAGAUGAGGUGCUUGCACCUUAUCUUAGCGGCGGACGGGUGAGUAAUGCAUAGGAAUCUGCCUAUUAGUGGGGGACAACAUUCCGAAAGGAAUGCUAAUACCGCAUACGUCCUACGGGAGAAAGCAGGGGAUCUUCGGACCUUGCGCUAAUAGAUGAGCCUAAGUCGGAUUAGCUAGUUGGUGGGGUAAAGGCCUACCAAGGCGACGAUCUGUAGCGGGUCUGAGAGGAUGAUCCGCCACACUGGGACUGAGACACGGCCCAGACUCCUACGGGAGGCAGCAGUGGGGAAUAUUGGACAAUGGGGGGAACCCUGAUCCAGCCAUGCCGCGUGUGUGAAGAAGGCCCUAUGGUUGUAAAGCACUUUAAGCGAGGAGGAGGCUACUGAGACUAAUACUCUUGGAUAGUGGACGUUACUCGCAGAAUAAGCACCGGCUAACUCUGUGCCAGCAGCCGCGGUAAUACAGAGGGUGCGAGCGUUAAUCGGAUUUACUGGGCGUAAAGCGUGCGUAGGCGGCUUUUUAAGUCGGAUGUGAAAUCCCCGAGCUUAACUUGGGAAUUGCAUUCGAUACUGGGAAGCUAGAGUAUGGGAGAGGAUGGUA
RNAcentral lists this ribosomal RNA (641 nucleotides) under uncultured bacterium. RNAcentral describes it as "bacterial SSU rRNA". It matches the Rfam family "Bacterial small subunit ribosomal RNA", at positions 28 to 663 of the family's 1533-position model. The record is from RNAcentral.